Molecule: long non-coding RNA, 1293 nt
Organism: Daphnia pulicaria
Lineage: Eukaryota; Metazoa; Arthropoda; Branchiopoda; Diplostraca; Daphniidae
Exons: 3
Source: RefSeq, a predicted model, not a curated record
AUUCGCAUCUUGGUAAAGUCAAACAUGAAAUUCCACUCCAAAUUAGACAUGCUGCAUGACUCCGAGAAAUUAUUUUAAAUAUCAUCGCUAUCAGAUUCGGCUGUUUCAUCUACUUUCUUCGUUUCUAUAUUUUUUUUUCUUUUUUUAAUCACACGAGAGAAGUCAGGGAAUAAAGAGAAAGAUAUUUAUGUCAACCAACACUUCGUCAUCGAUUAUUAUUUGAAGGUAUUACAACUUCUGUUUACCUUCAUUACUUUCAAUGUUAGAUUCAGUGUCCAGUUUUGCAACGGAGAUGUUUUCUUUAGAGGUAUUUGAAUCAGAAUAAUGAUCAGAACUUUUGUCAUUAUAAUCAUAGUCAACCGACACUUCGUUAUCUUCCAAAAUUAUGUAUUCUUAAACUACCAAUCAGAGGCAUGGUGUCUCAUGGUGAACAUUAUAGCGAUUGAAAAAAUUGCUGCAGUUUUUAAGACAUUGUCUGGACAAACUUGGCAAGCCGCGGGACGGGGGCCCAUAUUAGCCCAGCAUUGAGUUCUAAUACGCAAACGGAGACUGUUUUUGAAGGAGCAAGCUUGGUAGCCGUCUUAACAUGCCGGAGCAGCAUUCAGCCAUUCUGAUAGACCGGAAGACAGGAGCACACGCCUCUUAUGGCACGCACGCAAAAGUAUGCAAUUCGGUCCGUACUAUUUCUUGCGUUUGGGAAGAGACAACGGGCAAACAAGAUCUCCUUUAAACGUCCGAUUCUCUGAAAAUAUUUCUCCUAUCACACCUUUUCUUCACCAAACACAGCAUCGUCCCACUGGAGCCCUCUCCCGCCUAGCUCCCGUAGUUUAAUUUUAGCCUUAACAGUCAUCUAGGAGUCUGUCCCUAAAGGGUCAAACAAUCCAGCUACUUGGGCAGCAACCCUACUCUGGUGUAGUUCACAAUGGUCACUUUCAGGUGAUACACCAAAUAUUUAAGCAUCUAAGGCCAAUUGUAAAUCAGGUUGACCAGCAAUAAGAAUAGAUUUACAGACAUAUAAGUUCGCUUACUUUUACCGAUACUUUUAUUAAAGCAAAAAUAGCAAAAGCAGACAAAUUUUUCAUAGUUGUUAUUCUUCAUAUCACUGGUUAAGUGAAAUUUUCAUCAGAGUUUUUUUAUUUCAAAUGUCUUCCAAUUUUAUGCGUCUCUGAUCUAGAGACAUAAAUUCUUUCGAGAUAACAACCCUAAAAAAACGUUCCUCAAUAAAAGUUACAUUGGGAGGAUUUAAAAAAUAAAUUUAUGAUUUUACAUGCGUGUACCCACCAAUUCAAAAGA